Non-coding RNA from Microcebus murinus (gray mouse lemur), 429 nucleotides. NCBI's taxonomy places the organism in Eukaryota, Metazoa, Chordata, Mammalia, Primates, Cheirogaleidae. The record is from RefSeq and is a predicted model, not a curated record.
AAAUGCGGGGCCGCCUUGGGCCGCUGAGGAGAAACGUCUAGAUGGUUUCUGGGAAAGCACACGAGAAUGCGUUGCGGGCUCCACAGAAGUGGCAGUUGAAACUGAAGGAUAAACGCAUCUGACUCUUACACUGUGAGAGAACAAGAGAGCAGAGACUGAGCCAGUGAAAACGACAUGGGGAGAAAGAUGAAUCAGAGAGGCGGGAACAAAGCCAAGCGGGAAUUCGAGAAUUCAACUUCUGCCAGAGCAGCACUGAAAAGAGGAAGCAGUAAAGAGAAAAUGAAAAAGCAGAGUAUCACAUUCAAUUCACAAAUUUCACCUGAAAGCAUAGAUAGGUAACUCACCACUUCAAGAUAUUAACAGUUCCCUCUGUGUCAGUUAUCACUUUGAUUUGUACAGUUUGUGUGUAUAAAUUAUAAAAAAUUGGAA